GAAGUAAAAGUCGUAACAAGGUUUCCGUAGGUGAACCUGCGGAAGGAUCAUUAUCGAGUUUUGAAACGGGUUGUGGCUGGCCUCAUAAAUUAUUGGGGCAUGUGCACGCCUGGCUCAUCCACUCUUUCAACCUCUGUGCACUUAUUGUAGGUUGGUAAUAAAGCUGGUUUCAAAUCAGCUGGAAGACCUUCCUAUGUUUUAUUAUAAACGCUUCAGUUAUAGAAUGUAUCCUUGCGUUAACGCAUUUAUAUACAACUUUCAGCAACGGAUCUCUUGGCUCUCGCAUCGAUGAAGAACGCAGCGAAAUGCGAUAAGUAAUGUGAAUUGCAGAAUUCAGUGAAUCAUCGAAUCUUUGAACGCACCUUGCGCUCCCUGGUAUUCCGGGGAGUAUGCCUGUUUGAGUGUCAUGGAAUUCUCAAUCUUCAGUCUUUUUCUUUUUCUUAAAAGAUUUAAAAAAUGCUGAAGACUUGGACUUGGAGGUUUAUGCUGGCUCUUGCUAGUCGGCUCCUCUGAAAUGCAUGAGCGUGAUUAUGACGGAUCGCCUUCGAUGUGAUAAUUAUCUGCAUCGUAGUUGUGAAGUAAAUUAAUAUUUGCGCUUAUAAUCGUCCUUGAAGAGGGACAAUUUAUCUUUGACUUUGACCUCAAAUCAGGUAGGACUACCCGCUGAACUUAAGC
This 675-nucleotide ribosomal RNA is filed under the name Rhizochaete radicata. RNAcentral describes it as "eukaryotic LSU rRNA". The stretch from base 254 to 407 matches the Rfam family "5.8S ribosomal RNA". The record is from RNAcentral. Lineage: Eukaryota; Fungi; Basidiomycota; Agaricomycetes; Polyporales; Phanerochaetaceae.